UAAUACGUAGGGAGCAAACGUUGUCCGGAUUUAUUGGGCGUAAAGGGCUCGUAGGCGGUUCAACAAGUCGAUCGUGAAAGCCCGGGGCUCAACCCCGGGAGGCCGGUCGAAACUGUUGUGACUAGAGUUCGGUAGAGGUGAGUGGAAUUCUCGGUGUAGCGGUGGAAUGCGCAGAUAUCGAGAGGAACACCAUUAGCGAAGGCGGCCCACUGGGCCGAUACUGACGCUGAGGAGCGAAAGCGUGGGGAGCAAACAGGAUUAGAUACCCUGGUAGUCCACGCCGUAAACGAUGAACACUAGGUGUGGCGGACUGAUUCAUGUCUGCCGUGCCGAAGCUAACGCAUUAAGUGUUCCGCCUGGGGAGUACGGCCGCAAGGCUA
This 380-nucleotide ribosomal RNA is filed under the name uncultured Bacillota bacterium. RNAcentral's name for it is "bacterial SSU rRNA". It matches the Rfam family "Bacterial small subunit ribosomal RNA", at positions 521 to 896 of the family's 1533-position model. The record is from RNAcentral. Lineage: Bacteria; Bacillati; Bacillota.